Molecule: long non-coding RNA, 1065 nt
Organism: Populus nigra (black poplar)
Lineage: Eukaryota; Viridiplantae; Streptophyta; Magnoliopsida; Malpighiales; Salicaceae
Exons: 3
Source: RefSeq, a predicted model, not a curated record
CUGAUUUUUCUGGUUUUAGGGUCUGCUUCAAAUUUUUUUAGCUCAAGAUGUAUAUGUCUUGCUCGCUAGCCCACUUCAUAUAUAGUCUUCUCCUGGGCUUUUGGUUUUCGUACACACCAUGUGUACUUCAUAUAACAAGUUUAAGGUUUUAUAGUAACGAGGUUGGGAAGGAAGCCUAAUAAUGCUAGGCAUCCUUUGGUUUUCUUACAGGCACGAGGAUCUGUUGCAGACUACACUCAAAUGUUGAAAGUUUGCGUACAUGUUAAUAGACGAAAGAAACGCAUCAGAUUCUUUCAUGGGAAAGUUCAUGUACAUGUAUGUAUUCAUGUACAAGGAACCAAGAUUACCAGCAAUCAUCAUCUCCAAGGAGGAGGUUUCAUGAUGGGAUUCAUUUCUACUUCUACAGCUAUGUCCCAUAGAUGGCCGAACUUAUCAGCUUCUCUUACAAUCUGAAUGCCAUCUAGACGAGGAAGGAGUGCUGCUAUGAUUAUACCAAGCAAGCACACCCAAAAAGAUCCCUCCCCCGUCAUGUUGAAGAUUGCCCUGUCAGAUUACGUCCCAGUUGCAAGCAUUAGUCAGUCCAUCUAUACAUUACUUUUUUUUGUGAGCUUAACUGAAGGGAGAAUUUAUACGGGUAAUAUCUACAUCUGUGGAAGAGAAGAGGACAUACCAGUAGCCAACAAACAUAGGAAUGGCAUUGAGGAUCAUGACACAAAUGGAAGUUGCAGCAGCUAUAGAUCCCCAAAUAACUGCAUAAAAAACCCAAUUCCAUUAGGUGAUGUCCAUGGCCAAGUGCAGAUUAACCAGAAUAUCCACUUUUUGGAGCUAACAAGGUGACGCCCUGGUUGUCCUGCAAAUUUAUCUUUUGAUCAGCAUUCCAAGGGCUAAUACAUAAUAUUUUAAACGUAUUUGGGGUGGCCUGAGAGCUGUGCAACUCUUAACCCAAACACAGGCGGCGUUAAUUUUUAUUUUUUUUUUCCUAUUGGACUUUUCUAGGCCUGUUCCUUAUUUGCUGAAAUCUAUCCACCAUUUCUUAAAAAUGAAAAAAAAAUUGGUUUUGUUUUA